GGGAAAGCACAGCACAAACAAGUACCUCGGGGGGUGAAGAAAUGGAGAGGGUCUUAAGUUUAAUGACAAUAACAGAGACGGGUAUGAACACGGGGAGCACAACGACUACUACACGUGAGACGGAGAUGAACAUUCCAGAAACGGCGGAGAACACGGGGAGCACAACGAACAUUCCAGAAUCGGCGAUGAACACGGGGAGCACAACGAGCAUUCCAGAAUCGGCGAUGAACACGGGGAGCACAACGGAUGAGGGUGUAAAGAAGAAAAGUUGGCUGGAUGAAAUGGACUUGGAGGAGAUAUCGGACUCGGAUGAUGGGGAAAAAUUUGAAAGAAUGAGAGGAGGAUACAGGAAGAGGAAAGCAGCGGAGGGGGGGGAGAGAAAGGGUGGAAGAGGAAAGAAACUGGAUAAAAGGAUGAAUUGUUCAUCCUUUUUUAUUA
This 438-nucleotide long non-coding RNA is filed under the name Salmo salar (Atlantic salmon). RNAcentral describes it as "lncRNA (ENSSSAG00000101534.1)". Lineage: Eukaryota; Metazoa; Chordata; Actinopteri; Salmoniformes; Salmonidae. The record is from RNAcentral.